AUUGAACGCUAGCGGGAUGCCUUACACAUGCAAGUCGAACGGAGUGGCGAACGGGUGAGUAAUGUAUCGGAACGUGCCCAGUAGCGGGGGAUAAAUACGCGAAAGCGUAGCUAAUACCGCAUACUAUUGGAGCGGCCGAGAUCGGAGUGGCAAGGUGGUGGGGUAACGGCUCACGAAGGCGAAGAUCCGUGGCUGGUUUGAGAGGACGACCAGCCACACUGGGACUGAGACACGUCCCAGACUCCUACGGGAGGCAGCAGUUGGGAAUUUUGGACAAUGGGGGAAACCCUGAUCCAGCCAUCCCGCGUGUGCGAUGAAGGCCUUCGGGUUGUAAAGCACUUUUGGCAGGAAAGCGGUACCUGCAGAAUAAGCACCGGCUAACUACGUGCCAGCAGCCGCGGUAAUUC
This 407-nucleotide ribosomal RNA is filed under the name uncultured bacterium. RNAcentral describes it as "partial 16S ribosomal RNA". It matches the Rfam family "Bacterial small subunit ribosomal RNA", at positions 30 to 526 of the family's 1533-position model. The record is from RNAcentral.